AGAAAGAAACCAAUCCAAAGCCCACCCAUAAGUUUCUAGUUUAGCUCACUCUCCUUCUACUAAUUCACCCUCAAAUGGCACACUAUGCCAAUCGCCUGGCUGAUAUUGGAAGGGAGGGUUUCCCUCUAGUUAACAGAUUUUAUGGUAGAGGGACAUCGGGUCAAGCACCAAAGAAGCAAUACAAUGUCCCAAAGCAGUAUGCUUCCGUUCCCAGCGAUGAGAAGGUAAUCGAUAGCAAGAAGGCCGCCAAAAAAUACAAUGGAAUGGUGGUCACGAAGCACUACUGAGAAGUUUGUCGGCUGGCGUUUCUAUGUUCUAGCUCUGUAAACAUGUAAAGGUUCAAGUAACUCCCUAGAGGGUAGAGGUAAACCAAAUGAACAAGUCCUUGUCACGGUUUUUGUCAUGUUAGUCGUUUUGAACCCUAGUAUUGUGUUUAUGUAUACCGUUUGUUUUCUAGCUUUCUGAAGUUUAGUUAUAUACUUGGAUGUGUCUAAGCUAGUAAUUAGACCUGUUUUAUACUAAACAUUCCGCCUUUUAUUCCUCUUUUUGGUAAAAUUUAUGGCAAUCUAUGGUAUAACUGUUCACUUCAUUGGUGUAAAAAGAUCUCGAUCAUUUUCAAAGUGAAUGAUCACAACUUAAAUAACUUGCCAAAGUUCUGGUCCAAAGUCAGCCCUAGAACUAGGAGGUCCAUUGGACACUGUGGUUCCACUCAUAAGUUGCUCCUGCAUGAUUCAUUCCUAAUAUUGAGUAAGAUUUGAUAAAGACUUGCCAAAGCCAAAUCAUCCAAUUACGGAAGAUUCGGUCGUAAAUCCAGAAGCAUUUGCAACAUAUUACUACACAGAUGGACCAUUCUUUGAUUUAUUGGUGCAGUUGCGUUCUUUUUCUUGUCUGGAAUGCUAACUAUCCUCUAGGAUCAAACGUCACUAUUAUUGUAGUGGAAAAACAUGUCUUCUAACUUCCAAGAUA
Molecule: long non-coding RNA, 966 nt
Filed under: Eucalyptus grandis
Lineage: Eukaryota; Viridiplantae; Streptophyta; Magnoliopsida; Myrtales; Myrtaceae
Description: long non-coding RNA (EGRA_LNC005194)
Source: RNAcentral